RNAcentral lists this long non-coding RNA (834 nucleotides) under Carica papaya (papaya). RNAcentral describes it as "long non-coding RNA (CPAP_LNC006133)". Lineage: Eukaryota; Viridiplantae; Streptophyta; Magnoliopsida; Brassicales; Caricaceae. The record is from RNAcentral.
GAGACCAAAAUACGGAGAGCCUGACAAAGCAAAUUAACAAAAAUCCAUCACAAAAAUGAACGCUCUAAUACCUGCACCCGCUAAAGUGCCGAUAGCAUCAUCUGGAGAAAUGCGAGAAGGACCAGCAUGCACUUCCAAGUCGAUAUUGUUCCCAUGGCAACCAGUUUCAUCAGUCGUAUUCAUCACUAGUGCGUAUUCUUCUUCUAGGCGCAAAACCCACAUUUUCAAUUUCUCAAACUUCGUCUUCCAAAACUUGAGUUCGCUCUCAGCCUUCUCUUUCUUACCUUCCGCAUCGAGAUUUUUGCUCCUUAGUUUAACAAUAAUCCUCUUCUCCUCUUAUUUUACUUCUUUUGAAAUAUCCGACAACUUCUUACACCUCUUCUCGGCUUGAUGCUCUCUCUGACACGCGACCUUCUUUUCCUCAGUCAAACGAGCAUUCAUUUGCCUCUCGAAUGCCCAGAUUAGUAACCUCCAAGAACUUGCAUCUCAUCCUUCCAUCUCUUGAGCUCCUCUUGAAUGCCCAGAUUAGUAACCUCCAAGAACUUGCAUCUCUCCUCCGCAAUCUUCUUUCUCUGGUACGCAACUUCCUUAGCUUCGUUCAAGAGAGAAUUCGUUUUUCUCAAAUCUGAACACUCUUCAAGAGGAGCUCAACAAACUGAAAGAAGUGUGUUCGGAUUUGAGGAAAGUGAAUUUCCUCUUGAGCAACGCUAAGGAAGUUGCAUGCGAGAGAGAGAAGAUUGCGGAGGAGAGAUGCAAGUUUUUAGAGGUUGCUAAUUUGGGUAUUUAAGAGGAGCUAAAGAAAUGGAAGGAUGAGUGUCUAGUUUUGAGGCAAAU